RNAcentral lists this long non-coding RNA (447 nucleotides) under Zea mays. RNAcentral's name for it is "long non-coding RNA NONZMAT003470". Lineage: Eukaryota; Viridiplantae; Streptophyta; Magnoliopsida; Poales; Poaceae. The record is from RNAcentral.
CAACCUACCACCAAAAGUGACACUCGCAGGUCCAAUCCUGCUGUCAAAUAAAUUUAAAAAAUCAUGUCACCCAUCAUUGAUGUCAUACAGAUCAAUCAGAGGGGGACUUGGUAGACUUUCCUGCCCCCUCCCCCGGCCUAUUGUCAAGCGCCCCAUGGAAUGUUCUUGCAGUCACACAAUCAAAGGAAAAUGAUUCUCGGACUUGAAGACUAGGAGUUACUGGCCACAUAUUCCAUGCCUUGGCUGCUCUGCACUUGUCAUGGAUCUGCGACACCGUAGACAGUUCGGUGUCUUCCAAACCUCUAGAUCAAGUAAUAUAUUUGCUGCUCUGAGAAUGGUUCCACUACGAGCUCAGCCACAGGAAUUGAUGAAAAGCGAUUGCUACGUCAUUUCCUCUUACAAGUCAAGCAGGGAAGAAGUGAUGGACACCCCCUUUGUCAAAACGGG